UCGUAACAAGGUUUCCGUAGGUGAACCUGCGGAAGGAUCAUUACAGAAUGAAAGUGCUUAACUGCAUUUUUUUACACAUGUGUUUUUCUUUUUUUUUGAAAACUUUGCUUUGGUGGGCCCAUGGCCUGCCAGAGAUUAAACUCAACCAAAUUUUAUUUAAGUCAACUGAUUAACUAAUAGUCAAAACUUUCAACAACGGAUCUCUUGGUUCUCGCAUCGAUGAAGAACGCAGCGAAAUGCGAUAAGUAAUAUGAAUUGCAGAUAUUCGUGAAUCAUCGAAUCUUUGAACGCACAUUGCGCCCUUUGGUAUUCCAAAGGGCAUGCCUGUUUGAGCGUCAUUUCUCCCUCAAACCUUCGGGUUUGGUGUUGAGCGAUACGCUGGGUUUGCUUGAAAGAAAGGCGGAGUAUAAACUAAUGGAUAGGUUUUUUUCCACUCAUUGGUACAAACUCCAAAAUUCUUCCAAAUUCGACCUCAAAUC
This 479-nucleotide unclassified non-coding RNA is filed under the name Lodderomyces orthopsilosis. Its description in RNAcentral is "Candida orthopsilosis sequence contains 18S rRNA gene, ITS1, 5.8S rRNA gene, ITS2, 28S rRNA gene". The stretch from base 185 to 338 matches the Rfam family "5.8S ribosomal RNA". Lineage: Eukaryota; Fungi; Ascomycota; Pichiomycetes; Serinales; Debaryomycetaceae. The record is from RNAcentral.